RNAcentral lists this long non-coding RNA (453 nucleotides) under Phoenix dactylifera (date palm). RNAcentral describes it as "long non-coding RNA (PDAC_LNC008702)". Lineage: Eukaryota; Viridiplantae; Streptophyta; Magnoliopsida; Arecales; Arecaceae. The record is from RNAcentral.
GGCUUGCCACCAUAAAUCUGAUACUAUAGAUAAAUUUUUCCACCAUAGACACUCCCCUUCCUCGGGCUACCUAGGAAGCUGUUGCCCAAGGUGACAACCCAAGAGGGGGGGUGAAUUGGAUUUUCUAAAAAUUAUGUUUCCUAAUUUUUACUUUGAAUUGAAUGCCGCGGAAUGAUAAGAUGUUAUUUACUUAAGCUCUAGGCAAUUACAAGUAAAGUAGUGGAAAAUUAAGCUAGAGCAAUUAUACUAUGGCUUUAGGGUGCAAUUGAUCUAAAAUUAACUUAUAGUUGUAUGAUCAAUUUUAAUCUAUGUGUAUGGUAAGAAUGGAGAGGAAGCUAAGCAAAUUCUAAACAAUCACUUAGAACUCGAUAGAAAACAAAGCAAGAGAUAUUACAUAAUCAAGUAUGAAUGUAAGGCAUGAAAUACAAGAGAUAAGGCAUCACAAACACAAAG